UUAAGCGACUAAGCGUACACGGUGGAUGCCCUGGCAGUCAGAGGCGAUGAAGGACGUGCUAAUCUGCGAUAAGCGCCGGUAAGGUGAUAUGAACCGUUAUAACCGGCGAUUUCCGAAUGGGGAAACCCAGUGUGAUUCGUCACACUAUCAUUAACUGAAUCCAUAGGUUAAUGAGGCGAACCGGGGGAACUGAAACAUCUAAGUACCCCGAGGAAAAGAAAUCAACCGAGAUUCCCCCAGUAGCGGCGAGCGAACGGGGAGGAGCCCAGAGCCUGAAUCAGCAUGUGUGUUAGUGGAAGCGUCUGGAAAGGCGCGCGAUACAGGGUGACAGCCCCGUACACAAAAGCGCAUGUGCUGUGAGCUCGAUGAGUAGGGCGGGACACGUGGUAUCCUGUCUGAAUAUGGGGGGACCAUCCUCCAAGGCUAAAUACUCCUGACUGACCGAUAGUGAACCAGUACCGUGAGGGAAAGGCGAAAAGAACCCCGGCGAGGGGAGUGAAAAAGAACCUGAAACCGUGUACGUACAAGCAGUGGGAGCACCCUUCGGGGUGUGACUGCGUACCUUUUGUAUAAUGGGUCAGCGACUUAUAUUCUGUAGCAAGGUUAACCGUAUAGGGGAGCCGGAGGGAAACCGAGUCUUAAUUGGGCGUUAAGUUGCAGGGUAUAGACCCGAAACCCGGUGAUCUAGCCAUGGGCAGGUUGAAGGUUGGGUAACACUAACUGGAGGACCGAACCGACUAAUGUUGAAAAAUUAGCGGAUGACCUGUGGCUGGGGGUGAAAGGCCAAUCAAACCGGGAGAUAGCUGGUUCUCCCCGAAAGCUAUUUAGGUAGCGCCUCGUGAAUUCAUCUCCGGGGGUAGAGCACUGUUUCGGCUAGGGGGCCAUCCCGGCUUACCAACCCGAUGCAAACUGCGAAUACCGGAGAAUGUUAUCACGGGAGACACACGGCGGGUGCUAACGUCCGUCGUGAAGAGGGAAACAACCCAGACCGCCAGCUAAGGUCCCAAAGUCAUGGUUAAGUGGGAAACGAUGUGGGAAGGCCCAGACAGCCAGGAUGUUGGCUUAGAAGCAGCCAUCAUUUAAAGAAAGCGUAAUAGCUCACUGGUCGAGUCGGCCUGCGCGGAAGAUGUAACGGGGCUAAACCAUGCACCGAAGCUGCGGCAGCGAACGUAUCACCCAAGACAACUUUACGGAGUUGACGAUUGACGGAGCGAAGCGACGUCAAAGCGUUCAUUAAAGUCGAGUUGGCUUAGGGAUACGUUCGUUGGGUAGGGGAGCGUUCUGUAAGCCUGUGAAGGUGUGUCGUGAGGCAUGCUGGAGGUAUCAGAAGUGCGAAUGCUGACAUAAGUAACGAUAAAGCGGGUGAAAAGCCCGCUCGCCGGAAGACCAAGGGUUCCUGUCCAACGUUAAUCGGGGCAGGGUGAGUCGACCCCUAAGGCGAGGCCGAAAGGCGUAGUCGAUGGGAAACGGGUUAAUAUUCCCGUACUUGGUGUUACUGCGAAGGGGGGACGGAGAAGGCUAUGUUGGCCGGGCGACGGUUGUCCCGGUUUAAGCGUGUAGGUGUGUGUUCCAGGUAAAUCCGGUUCACUUUAACACUGAGGCGUGACGACGAGGCACUACGGUGCUGAAGCAACAAAUGCCCUGCUUCCAGGAAAAGCCUCUAAGCAUCAGGUAACACGAAAUCGUACCCCAAACCGACACAGGUGGUCAGGUAGAGAAUACCAAGGCGCUUGAGAGAACUCGGGUGAAGGAACUAGGCAAAAUGGUGCCGUAACUUCGGGAGAAGGCACGCUGACACGUAGGUGAAGUGAUUUACUCAUGGAGCUGAAGUCAGUCGAAGAUACCAGCUGGCUGCAACUGUUUAUUAAAAACACAGCACUGUGCAAACACGAAAGUGGACGUAUACGGUGUGACGCCUGCCCGGUGCCGGAAGGUUAAUUGAUGGGGUCAGCGCAAGCGAAGCUCCUGAUCGAAGCCCCGGUAAACGGCGGCCGUAACUAUAACGGUCCUAAGGUAGCGAAAUUCCUUGUCGGGUAAGUUCCGACCUGCACGAAUGGCGUAAUGAUGGCCAGGCUGUCUCCACCCGAGACUCAGUGAAAUUGAACUCGCUGUGAAGAUGCAGUGUACCCGCGGCAAGACGGAAAGACCCCGUGAACCUUUACUAUAGCUUGACACUGAACAUUGAGCCUUGAUGUGUAGGAUAGGUGGGAGGCUUUGAAGUGUGGACGCCAGUCUGCAUGGAGCCGACCUUGAAAUACCACCCUUUAAUGUUUGAUGUUCUAACGUGGACCCGUAAUCCGGGUUGCGGACAGUGUCUGGUGGGUAGUUUGACUGGGGCGGUCUCCUCCUAAAGAGUAACGGAGGAGCACGAAGGUUGGCUAAUCCUGGUCGGACAUCAGGAGGUUAGUGCAAUGGCAUAAGCCAGCUUGACUGCGAGCGUGACGGCGCGAGCAGGUGCGAAAGCAGGUCAUAGUGAUCCGGUGGUUCUGAAUGGAAGGGCCAUCGCUCAACGGAUAAAAGGUACUCCGGGGAUAACAGGCUGAUACCGCCCAAGAGUUCAUAUCGACGGCGGUGUUUGGCACCUCGAUGUCGGCUCAUCACAUCCUGGGGCUGAAGUAGGUCCCAAGGGUAUGGCUGUUCGCCAUUUAAAGUGGUACGCGAGCUGGGUUUAGAACGUCGUGAGACAGUUCGGUCCCUAUCUGCCGUGGGCGCUGGAGAACUGAGGGGGGCUGCUCCUAGUACGAGAGGACCGGAGUGGACGCAUCACUGGUGUUCGGGUUGUCAUGCCAAUGGCACUGCCCGGUAGCUAAAUGCGGAAGAGAUAAGUGCUGAAAGCAUCUAAGCACGAAACUUGCCCCGAGAUGAGUUCUCCCUGAGACUUAGAGUCUCCUGAAGGAACGUUGAAGACGACGACGUUGAUAGGCCGGGUGUGUAAGCGCAGCGAUGCGUUGAGCUAACCGGUACUAAUGAACCGUGAGGCUUAACCUU
This 2988-nucleotide ribosomal RNA is filed under the name Salmonella enterica subsp. enterica serovar Typhimurium. RNAcentral describes it as "bacterial LSU rRNA". It matches the Rfam family "Bacterial large subunit ribosomal RNA". RNAcentral also lists the same sequence under 1 other name. The record is from RNAcentral. Lineage: Bacteria; Pseudomonadati; Pseudomonadota; Gammaproteobacteria; Enterobacterales; Enterobacteriaceae.